This 1438-nucleotide ribosomal RNA is filed under the name Pantoea dispersa. Its description in RNAcentral is "bacterial SSU rRNA". It matches the Rfam family "Bacterial small subunit ribosomal RNA". Lineage: Bacteria; Pseudomonadati; Pseudomonadota; Gammaproteobacteria; Enterobacterales; Erwiniaceae. The record is from RNAcentral.
GGCGGGGGGGGGGGGCCCUACCCAUGCAAGUCGAGCGGCAGCACAGAAGAGCUUGCUCUUUGGGUGGCGAGUGGCGGACGGGUGAGUAAUGUCUGGGAAACUGCCCGAUGGAGGGGGAUAACUACUGGAAACGGUAGCUAAUACCGCAUAACGUCGCAAGACCAAAGUGGGGGACCUUCGGGCCUCACACCAUCGGAUGUGCCCAGAUGGGAUUAGCUAGUAGGUGGGGUAAUGGCUCACCUAGGCGACGAUCCCUAGCUGGUCUGAGAGGAUGACCAGCCACACUGGAACUGAGACACGGUCCAGACUCCUACGGGAGGCAGCAGUGGGGAAUAUUGCACAAUGGGCGCAAGCCUGAUGCAGCCAUGCCGCGUGUAUGAAGAAGGCCUUCGGGUUGUAAAGUACUUUCAGCGGGGAGGAAGGGCGGUGAGGUUAAUAACCUUGCCGAUUGACGUUACCCGCAGAAGAAGCACCGGCUAACUCCGUGCCAGCAGCCGCGGUAAUACGGAGGGUGCAAGCGUUAAUCGGAAUUACUGGGCGUAAAGCGCACGCAGGCGGUCUGUUAAGUCAGAUGUGAAAUCCCCGGGCUUAACCUGGGAACUGCAUUUGAAACUGGCAGGCUUGAGUCUCGUAGAGGGGGGUAGAAUUCCAGGUGUAGCGGUGAAAUGCGUAGAGAUCUGGAGGAAUACCGGUGGCGAAGGCGGCCCCCUGGACGAAGACUGACGCUCAGGUGCGAAAGCGUGGGGAGCAAACAGGAUUAGAUACCCUGGUAGUCCACGCCGUAAACGAUGUCGACUUGGAGGUUGUGCCCUUGAGGCGUGGCUUCCGGAGCUAACGCGUUAAGUCGACCGCCUGGGGAGUACGGCCGCAAGGUUAAAACUCAAAUGAAUUGACGGGGGCCCGCACAAGCGGUGGAGCAUGUGGUUUAAUUCGAUGCAACGCGAAGAACCUUACCUGGCCUUGACAUCCAGAGAACUUAGCAGAGAUGCUUUGGUGCCUUCGGGAACUCUGAGACAGGUGCUGCAUUGGCCUGUCGUCAGCUCGUGUUGUGAAAUGUUGGGUUAAGUCCCGCAACGAGCGCAACCCUUAUCCUUUGUUGCCAGCGGUUCGGCCGGGAACUCAAAGGAGACUGCCGGUGAUAAACCGGAGGAAGGUGGGGAUGACGUCAAGUCAUCAUGGCCCUUACGGCCAGGGCUACACACGUGCUACAAUGGCGCAUACAAAGAGAAGCGACCUCGCGAGAGCAAGCGGACCUCAUAAAGUGCGUCGUAGUCCGGAUUGGAGUCUGCAACUCGACUCCAUGAAGUCGGAAUCGCUAGUAAUCGUAGAUCAGAAUGCUACGGUGAAUACGUUCCCGGGCCUUGUACACACCGCCCGUCACACCAUGGGAGUGGGUUGCAAAAGAAGUAGGUAGCUUAACCUUCGGGAGGGCGCUUAC